RNAcentral lists this ribosomal RNA (438 nucleotides) under uncultured bacterium. RNAcentral's name for it is "bacterial SSU rRNA". It matches the Rfam family "Bacterial small subunit ribosomal RNA", at positions 352 to 782 of the family's 1533-position model. The record is from RNAcentral.
CAGUGGGGAAUUUUGGACAAUGGGCGCAAGCCUGAUCCAGCAAUGCCGCGUGUGUGAAGAAGGCCUUCGGGUUGUAAAGCACUUUUGUCCGGAAAGAAAACCUUUGCCCUAAUACGGUGGGGGGAUGACGGUACCGGAAGAAUAAGCACCGGCUAACUACGUGCCAGCAGCCGCGGUAAUACGUAGGGUGCAAGCGUUAAUCGGAAUUACUGGGCGUAAAGCGUGCGCAGGCGGUUCGUUAAGACAGAUGUGAAAUCCCCGGGCUUAACCUGGGAACUGCAUUUGUGACUGGCGGGCUAGAGUAUGGCAGAGGGGGGUAGAAUUCCACGUGUAGCAGUGAAAUGCGUAGAGAUGUGGAGGAAUACCGAUGGCGAAGGCAGCCCCCUGGGCCAAUACUGACGCUCAUGCACGAAAGCGUGGGGAGCAAACAGGAUUAGA